CGCUUAGGAGGCUCACCGUUUAUGUCUGUUCGAGCAGACGAACAGCAGGAAGGUUGUUGUUGUUUGCGACUACCCAGAAAGAAAAACUUGAUAAUCUAAUAGGAACGUCCGAUUACGGGGGGAAGUCGCAUUAUUGCCAACUGCAAACUUACGUGCAGCUGCUAGAAUGAAAUCCAAAGGUUUAGCCUGCCUAUUUUAAAGCCAUAAUUUAGUGAAUCGCUUUUGUAGACGGAUUGUUAUUAUACAUGCUUUAGCCUGGCCGGCAAUGUUCUAGUAAUAAUGCUCGUUGCUCUUCUCGCACUGCAGCGAGCAGAGCAAUUUUUCUUAAGUCCUGAACGGAAUCCCGUUUCAUGCUCCAGGACAACUUCGUACAACAAAGUCUUACAAUAACGCUACGAGGUCCACAAUACAGUAUCCACUGAUAUGGAGGUUUCACUGCUCAUCGUCACUUUGCGUGUAACAGGCCUCUCAAGUCUCCCGGAGAAGACUUGAAUUUUCCAAUACAUUGUCAACGCAAUCUAUGUUGCAUGAAGACGUUCUGCACAUUGUACCAAAGAAAGCAAAGAAGUAUUGAGCUUCGAAUACAUUUGUAAAAUUUAUAAUAUGUUAGAUACACACGGUAUUUACCUAUAUCUCAAUCUAUGUUGUUAAUAGGAUAACUAAUAAAAUUAAAGUUCUCAGUGUCAGCAAAGUAGUUCCGUCCAAUGAGUUACUUUUCGAAACGAAGCACGCAAUUUCUGUGUUGGCAAUUUCUAAUAGUUAUAGUUUUCAAAUAAUCAGUGCCACAUUAAUUUCAAGGUAACAAACUUUAAUUUUUAUAAAAAUUUUCAUAAAAUUAAGUACAAGUAAGCAAUCCGUGUUUCAGCGUUUGUGGUCAUGACUUAA
Molecule: long non-coding RNA, 885 nt
Organism: Varroa destructor (honeybee mite)
Lineage: Eukaryota; Metazoa; Arthropoda; Arachnida; Mesostigmata; Varroidae
Source: RefSeq, a predicted model, not a curated record